This 465-nucleotide ribosomal RNA is filed under the name Vreelandella stevensii. RNAcentral describes it as "partial 16S ribosomal RNA". It matches the Rfam family "Bacterial small subunit ribosomal RNA", at positions 338 to 795 of the family's 1533-position model. Lineage: Bacteria; Pseudomonadati; Pseudomonadota; Gammaproteobacteria; Oceanospirillales; Halomonadaceae. The record is from RNAcentral.
CCUACGGGUGGCAGCAGUGGGGAAUAUUGGACAAUGGGCGAAAGCCUGAUCCAGCCAUGCCGCGUGUGUGAAGAAGGCCUUCGGGUUGUAAAGCACUUUCAGUGGGGAAGAAAGCCUUGGGGCUAAUACCCUCGAGGAAGGACAUCACCCACAGAAGAAGCACCGGCUAACUCCGUGCCAGCAGCCGCGGUAAUACGGAGGGUGCGAGCGUUAAUCGGAAUUACUGGGCGUAAAGCGCGCGUAGGCGGUCUGAUAAGCCGGUUGUGAAAGCCCCGGGCUCAACCUGGGAACGGCAUCCGGAACUGUCAGGCUAGAGUGCAGGUGAGGAAGGUAGAAUUCCCGGUGUAGCAGUGAAAUGCGUAGAGAUCGGGAGGAAUACCAGUGGCGAAGGCGGCCUUCUGGACUGACACUGACGCUGAGGUGCGAAAGCGUGGGUAGCAAACAGGAUUAGAUACCCGAGUAGUC